Molecule: ribosomal RNA, 253 nt
Filed under: uncultured bacterium
Lineage: Bacteria
Description: partial 16S ribosomal RNA
Rfam family: Bacterial small subunit ribosomal RNA
Source: RNAcentral
UACGUAGGGGGCAAGCGUUGUCCGGAAUCAUUGGGCGUAAAGAGCGCGUAGGCGGCCCUGUAAGUCCGCUGUGAAAGUCAAGGGCUCAACCCUUGAAUGCCGGUGGAUACUGCAGGGCUAGAGUCCGGAAGAGGCGAGUGGAACUCCUGGUGUAGCGGUGGAAUGCGCAGAUAUCAGGAAGAACACCAACGGCGAAGGCAGCUCGCUGGGACGGAACUGACGCUGAGGCGCGAAAGCGUGGGGAGCGAACAGG